Molecule: ribosomal RNA, 497 nt
Filed under: uncultured bacterium
Lineage: Bacteria
Description: partial 16S ribosomal RNA
Rfam family: Bacterial small subunit ribosomal RNA
Source: RNAcentral
GAUGAACGCUGGCGGCGUGCCUAAUACAUGCCAGUCGAGCGAACAGACGAGGAGCUUGCUCCUCUGACGUUAGCGGCGGACGGGUGAGUAACACGUGGAUAACCUACCUAUAAGACUGGGAUAACUUCGGGAAACCGGAGCUAAUACUGGAUAAUAUAUUGAACCGCAUGGUUCAAUAGUGAAAGACGGUUUUGCUGUCACUUAUAGAUGGAUCCGCGCCGCAUUAGCUAGUUGGUAAGGUAACGGCUUACCAAGGCAACGAUGCGUAGCCGACCUGAGAGGGUAAUCGGCCACACUGGAACUGAGACACGGUCCAGACUCCUACGGGAGGCAGCAGUAGGGAAUCUUCCGCAAUGGGCGAAAGCCUGACGGAGCAACGCCGCGUGAGUGAUGAAGGUCUUCGGAUCGUAAAACUCUGUUAUUAGGGAAGAACAAAUGUGUAAGUAACUAUGCACGUCUUGACGGUACCUAAUCAGAAAGCCACGGCUAACUACGUG